This is a microRNA precursor of Brassica oleracea var. oleracea, 124 nucleotides long. It matches the Rfam family "MIR9563 microRNA precursor family". Lineage: Eukaryota; Viridiplantae; Streptophyta; Magnoliopsida; Brassicales; Brassicaceae. The record is from Rfam.
GGAAUAUAAAAAUCCGUCUCUUAAUUUUUAAUUUAAAAAGUUAAAACCGGUUCUUAAAUAAGAGUUUCAAUAGCAGGUUAUUAACUUUUUUAGUUAAAAGUUAAGAGAUAGGUUUUUAUAUUCC